RNAcentral lists this ribosomal RNA (298 nucleotides) under uncultured bacterium. RNAcentral's name for it is "partial 16S ribosomal RNA". It matches the Rfam family "Bacterial small subunit ribosomal RNA", at positions 28 to 311 of the family's 1533-position model. The record is from RNAcentral.
GAUGGACGCUGGCGGCGUGCUUAACACAUGCAGGUCGAGCGAAGCGAUUUUGAUGAAGUUUUCGGAUGGAAUUAAGAUUGACUGAGCGGCGGACGGGUGAGUGACGCGUGGGUAACCUGCCUCAUACAGGGGGAUAACAGUUAGAAAUGACUGCUAAUACCGCAUAAGCGCACAGGACCGCAUGGUCUGGUGUGAAAAACUCCGGUGGUAUGAGAUGGACCUGCGUCUGAUUAGCUUGUUGGCGGGGUAACGCCACAAGGCGACGAUCAGUAGCCGACCUGAGAGGGUGACCGGCCAC